This 466-nucleotide ribosomal RNA is filed under the name uncultured bacterium. RNAcentral's name for it is "partial 16S ribosomal RNA". It matches the Rfam family "Bacterial small subunit ribosomal RNA", at positions 28 to 507 of the family's 1533-position model. The record is from RNAcentral.
GAUGAACGCUGGCGGCGUGCUUAACACAUGCAAGUCGAACGGAAAGGCUCCUGCUUGCAGGGGUACUCGAGUGGCGAACGGGUGAGGAACACGUGGGUGAACUGCCCUGCACUUCGGGGUAAGCCUGGGGAACUGGGUCUAAUACCGGAUAGGACGAUGGUUUGGAUGCCAUUGUGGAAAGUUUUUUCGGUGUGGGAUGAGCUCGCGGCCUGUCAGCGUGUUGGUGGGGUAAUGGCCUACCAGGGCGUCGACGGGUAGCCGGCCUGAGAGGGUGUACGGCCACAUUGGGACUGAGAUACGGCCCAGACUGCGACGGGAGGCAGCAGUGGGGAAUAUUGCACAAUGGGCGCAAGCCUGAUGCAGAGGCGCGGCUUGGGGGAUGACGGCCUUCGGGUUGGAGACGCCUUUCGCUAGGGACGAAGCGCAAGUGACGGUACCUGGAGAAGAAGCGCCGGCUAACUACGUG